AUGUCUUCGCCGAGCAGAGUGGGAGGAGGAGUUCAGGUAGGUGAUUGCAGUGGUCAUAAUGAUACACCAAUUGGCUCUUGUUGUCCUGGUGGUAAGGAUCAUGGUGGUGAGGGAGGACAUCAAGUGAAUUCGCCAAUUGAAUCUUCUCCCAUAAGUGUGGCCCCUCCUUCUGAGGGUGAUGUUGGUGUGAGCUUUGACCAGAGACGUCCCGUCUUGUCUGAAACACAAUCGCAGUCUGUUGAUGGUACAGAGGAAGUUACACAGGAGUGGAUGGUCUCGGAACAGCUUCGUGCAUAUGAAUUGAAGCAAAGCAAGAAGAAGUUGAGGUUUGAAGGUGACUCAAAAGAGUUUGCGGAGAAGGAGAAGCAGAGGAGAGCUGCAGAUGGUGCCAAGGGUGCCAAAUUUUUCAAAAAUCUUGGUAAGAGAACUGCUCAAGCUGGUGGAAAUGAUCCUCAGCGCAAGCGACUACAUGUUAGUGAAGGUCCCAACUCUGACGAUGACGACUUUGUGCUUGCUGAUUUUGUGAGGGAUGUUCAUACUGGUAGACGCAAAGACUGUGGUUCAUCUAAGAGUCUGCCCAAGCGUGCCCGUGAUGAUGGCGAUGAAGGUGUUGGUGCUGACUCUGGCGAGGAGGCGGAUGUUGUUCCAAAGAGGAAGAAGUCUAGUAAGAGCAAUGCAACUGAAGAUGAUGCCGAGGGAGAUGAUUCUUGGUUUAACAAGACCAUACGUUUGUCGGUUCCAACUGUUUGCAAGGCUGCUGCUUUAUUGAAAGACGCACACUGUAGUCGUGUUCGGGAUGCUGGAUUCGGUGUUGUGUUUGAAUUGACAGUAAAGAAAAAUGUGUUGCACAUUCUUAUGUGCUAUCUGAUGGGAGUGAUUGGCCCUGCCACCAUGAUAAUGGACUUUGGGAAUGGCAGGGUUCUUCGAAUCAAUCGUGAUGCAGUUCAUCACAUUUUUGAUUUACGUAUGGGAUGUCACACUGCACCCACACCUGCUGCCAGCGGCCAUGAUGACUCGUUGAUUGUCCUCAAGGAUGAGCUUGGCUUUGACCGUUCAAAAAGUAUAUUUGUCAAGGACUUGCUUGAGAAGUUGAAGGUGUUGGUGGAGGAAGAUGAUCAUGUGACUGUUGAUCUUGCUGUGAAGGUGUUCUUCCUGAUACUUUACCAGAAUUUGCUGUGCCCGGGGCCUGCAGUUCGUUUGGGUAGAGUUGCUGCAAUGGUAGAGAACAUGGAUUAUGCAUCUAUGGCGCAGAUGGACUUUUGCCAGCUUGUUGUUGAUGAGUUGCAGGCAGCUGUGGUGAGGUGGCAAACAGAAGGCAACAAGCAGAAUUGUGUAGAGGGUUGUGCCAUUGUCCCCCUGAUUAUGUAUCUUGAUUGCUUGAAGCUUUGCAAAUUUUCAGUUAUGCACACGUUGACGCCACGUGCGUCAUACCUGACGACCAAGGACCUGAUGAAGUUAUACAAUGAGGAUGUGCUUGUCAAGGGAAAGAUUUACUUGGAAACUUACAAAUUUGGGAAGCUGCCGUGGAAGGCGUCAGGUGAUAUUGUGUACAACCGUCCUGCUGCAGUUGUAUGUGGCAGCUCUGAUGCGGGGCCUAGCACUCAUGCUAGGUUUUAUGAGCCUAUCUGUAGCCAGCUUCCUGCUUGUGAUGAUGAGGUGCCGCGUAUUCGUGGUUUCACGGCUCGUCAGAUGUUUGAUAAUAGAAGCUCUUCUAAACAGACAUUUGUUGGCGGGAAAAAACACGAGGAGAUUGAUGAGCUUCUUCUGAAGUUGAGACAUUCACAGGAAGACAAAUGCGGUCGGUAUGAGAAGGAUGUUGAGCAUUUUUUGGAUGAAAUGAACCGUCAGGACGCUAGCGUCGGCGCUGAUAAUGCUGGAGUGGAAUCUUCUGGUGUCCAUGGAUCUAGGGAUGAUGGAAUUGGUCAGACUGGAGUUUCUGCUUGUGAUGUGCACAAAGAUUCCUACGAUGGCUGUGGGAAGGAUGAGGUCUUGGCUGAUGCAUCGUCCCCUCCGGAUUUUGUAGCCGAUAAGACUGUUGUAAAUCCAGAUAAUGCUGAUGUUGCUACGGAAGGGCAGUCCAGUGAGGUUGUGGUGGAUUCGUCGCAACCUAGCCAAACAAGUAUUUGGCAUGGUGGUACUGUAGGUAGGAGUGUUAAAAUGAUGUUCUCUUCAAAAGCCGAGGAGCGUGUUGAUAAAAAAGAUAUGGUCCUGUUUGCAACAUUUGAUCCGCCAGAGACGAGGGAUGGCGUUGGUCAUUAUUGUGUAGUUGCCUUAAAUGUGAAAGAAAGGCGAUUUGAAUUUCUUGACUCGCUCAAUAAACCUGGCAGCCCUGAUGCGAUCAGGGUUUUUAGGAGGAUGGUUAAAAAUAUCAAGCGUGCAUGGAAAGAAGGUUUUGAUGGGGGGCUUCAUGAAGGCUGUACGUCACUGUUUGAGUCCCAGGGUUCUGCGGUGGUUAUGGAGGAUUGUGCCAUUGAAAUCUCUCCUGAUAAUUCUGGUUCUUUGGCUGGAGAUGGUUUGAACACAGAUGUGGCGUAUGGACCUGAUGGUGGAAGUAUUUCUCGACCUAGCUCUCCACACGAUGUAUUUGAUGUUGAUGAUGAUGAUUUUGUUACGCCGUGUCCAUGCGUCACUAGGACUAGGAGUGCAGCAAUUAAUCGUCCUCCUGUGGAUGAGGCUGAAGUAUUUUUGAACAAGAGGGCAGGUGAGAGGGGUUUUAAGUUGACAUUCUCUAUAGAGAAAUUGAAGCCUCCGAGGUUCAAAUACAUUGAUGAGGCGAGGAAAAUAAAGGACCUCGUUCUCAGCAAAGAUUUUGUAACCAAAUACCACGAGAACACGUUCUUUAUGGUGGAUAAUCCUUUUGGUGAUGUCGAAAAUUACAAUGUUGACUAUAUCUAUAAUACAUUUGGCAAAGGAGCUUUAAUGGACUCGUAUCUUAUGGAUUUUGUCAUCAAGUACUGGAAGCAAGACCCUGAAUUGGGUUUAGUUUAUCGUUUUGGUGAACGUGUGCGACUUCACCUUUAUUUAUCACGAAAGAUGAUGAAGGACACCUUGUGUUGCCAGUUGUGCAUACCCCCGUUUGUUUUAGAAGAUGCAGUUAAGCAGUUCAAGGUUUUUGUGAGUGGCAAUGAAAACCUGUUGGACGCAAAACUGAUUAUGAUGCCGCGCUCCAACGAUGGUCAUUAUUCCUUAUACACGAUGAACCAGCAUCGCCAGACGAUUGAUAUCCAUGACACUAGGAAGUACACUGGCCAUCCUGAUUUCAUGACAAAGUGGCGCAGGACUAACUACCACUCAGAUUGCACUGAAGUGCCUGCCAUUGAAGAUUGGAAGGCGGAGUGCAUGUUCCAGCUGUUGUUCAAUCCUUCGAACAUGUUGUAUUAUGAAGACAUGUUGCUUGAGCUAUGA
Molecule: ribosomal RNA, 3405 nt
Filed under: Triticum aestivum (bread wheat)
Lineage: Eukaryota; Viridiplantae; Streptophyta; Magnoliopsida; Poales; Poaceae
Description: partial small subunit ribosomal RNA
Source: RNAcentral